Long non-coding RNA from Harpia harpyja (harpy eagle), 2797 nucleotides. RefSeq lists it as uncharacterized. NCBI's taxonomy places the organism in Eukaryota, Metazoa, Chordata, Aves, Accipitriformes, Accipitridae. The record is from RefSeq and is a predicted model, not a curated record. The transcript is spliced from 5 exons.
GUUGGCCCACUGCUGAAUGGGUUGGAUGUCCUAUUGACAAAGGGCAUAGAAAAGGCCCCAGGCUUCACUAGCAUGGCCUCCCUGGUCUCCAUGCCUAGUGGCAGAGUUCAGGAGAGAGAGGUAUGUUAGAAGAAGAUAAAAUUAUAGGUCAUUUAAGGAAUCUGCACAUACCUGACCCUGUGAGACCAGACUGGCUGUACCUGAGGGCACUGAGGGAGCUGGGUGAUGUCAUUGCAAGGCCAUUCUACAUCAUUUUUCAAAACUCUUGGCAGCUGGGGAAGGAUCCUGACGACUGCCAUGGAAAAGGCAAGUGUCACACCCGUCUUCAAAAAGGGCAAGAAGGAAGAUCCGGGAAAUGACAGACCAGUCAGCCUCACCUCAGUCCCUGGGAAACUUUUGGAGGAGAUCCUCCUUGAAACCAUGUCCAAGGACAUGAAGGCACAAAAAGGACAACAAGGGUUACCAGAUGUUUAGAUGUUUCUGGACAACCCCCUGCACAUGCAGGCCAGGGGAUGGGCUAGAGCUGUGGUUAACUCCCUGAUCCACAUGCCAUGCUCCAGGUACCAAGGACUUACUGAGGACAUCAAGUUUGAUGCACAGCAGGAGCCUUCCUUUGAACUUAUUUACUCUCACCAUGCCUGGUGGCUGGUGGAUAAGCUGUGGGUCUGGCUGGUGUAGUCGAGAGCAUUGGAUAGAGCCAUCCUGCAGUUUCUGCAGGAAGAACACAAGAUCCCAGCUGGCCCAAGCUCUCCCUCCUCACCCAACUUUGGAGACACUUGGGGGGCCCACACUGGAUGAGGUGGCCUCGAAGUGCACUAAGAGCAGUCCCUUGAGUUGCAAGAGCUGCCUGGGAAAGGGAACAGCCUGCAAGGGGAUGCCACGGUGUGGGUCCUGAGCCUGCUAUGCCUGCAUCGAUGCAGAGGCACGGCAAUCCCCGUGAUGCUGAGUCCUACUGCCCUCAGGGCCUGAGAAGAGGCAGGUGAAAGAGCCAGUGGCUGGGAAGGGGUCUGAUCUUGCCGCUGUGCCCCGAAGCAAGAGGUGAAUGGCAAUGAACACCUGCCUUUGGCUGCAGUUUCUCUUCUUGGCACCAAGCGCUCGUGUUUGGAUUCAAAGUGCGGUAACAAAGCCCUUGCCGGCGAACACAUUUCAACAUGUUAUUAUUCCCAGGCUGGCUUUCAAGAUCCUCUUUCUAUUCCUUCUGUACUGAUUGCUCUUGUUUCUCUUGGCUCCCAGCUCUGGCUUUUCAGGCUUCAUUAACUGGAAUUUAUUAGCAACUUUAAACAAUCUUCAUGCUGCCAAAAAGAGAGAAAGAAAGAAAAGAAGAAAAAAAAGAAAGAAACAAAGAGGAGACACACUAAACUGCAGGCUGCUCCCUGCCUGUGUGAGGCCCAGGUCUGAACACCUCUAUCACUGGAGGUUUUCUCUGGAGGAAAGGAACGGUAAGUGCAGACAGAGGAGAGUGCAGACUGAUGGAGAGCUGUCACGGAGGAGACCUCGGUGAUGUUGCCUCUUCAAAGCCGGCUGAGACUGGAGAAUCUGGCCUCUUGGCAGCCUCCGAGCAUUGAGUGCUAAUUGCAUCCACAACACCUUCCUGAGCAGCUCACAGUAAAAACUAAUGACUAACAGGUCCCGGCACACCUGAGAGGCCCAUUCUCGUCACUGAAUGGAUGGGUAAACAGAGGCACUGGCAGGGAAAAAUCACUCUACCAAGACCACACAGUGAGUGAGCAGUUUGAGCUGGAGCAGUCCUGGUGCCCUCAUCCGUGCCCUAACCCCAGCAUUGCCUCUCAUCCCUUGUGGGACACAGCCGUUUGGUCUCCAGAGGGGAGAUGAGCUAACGCAGAAAUGUCCUGUGGGACACAGCCGGGCUGGACAUCAUGGGGUGGCUUGGGUGAUUGCUUCGCUGUCCUCAAGACCCUCACGUGCCAUCCUGCUCUCACUUGUUCUUCACAUGCCCGCCACCUGGCAUGGCUGUGUGCAGAGGACUAACAUACUCAGGGCUCAGGUGGGUCCAGCAACCCAGAUUUACAGUGCUCCACAGUAGCCUGAAGGAUGUGCAACAAGGCACAUUUGUCCUCAGUGUCCAUGGGACACAUGUGCUUAAUCUACCCAUUUUUGCAGCUUUCUUUCCCCUUUCUAUUAUUCCUGCUCCUUAGUUGAACCCCAGCACCAUGCACAAGCUGAGCCUUGAGUCCUGAUCUCUGACUUUCAUGAAACUUCACCUUCAUGAGGAGCCUGAGAUGGUGAUAAAAUAGAGUCACAGAAAGAGAAGGACUUGUAAAAGGUGUGGAACACCAGCUUUCCUCCAAGUUGCUGUGACUCUGGACUACUGGGACUAGAUCUAACAAGAGAAAAGAUUGGCAGCAGCAGAGCAGGAGAGGGGAACUAUGAGGAGCUCAUGGAGGAGUCAGAGGAACAUGGACUUUCUCUGACUGUCAGAGAAGAUGAGGGUUACAGAUCACAGACACAUGCGUUGAAGGGCCAGGCGUGUCAGGAGUUUCUGGGAUGUUUCUGAACAUUAGACCAGGGUAAAAAUGUCCCUAAAAUAUAAGAGUUUCCAGGGGAUCUCAAAAGGAGAUUUGAAAAUCUGUGUUGAAUUUGGCAAAUAUUUUUGGCUGAGGAACCUGUGAUUUUUUUCAGAAUGUUCAAGCAUCUUUUUUAAGGCAUCUUUGCAAUAUAGCAAAUACCAUUUGAAAUACCAUUUUCUUUUCAAGUUUGACCCAAAGUAAAAGAGUAAAGGUUAAGAAUUAAAGUGAAAAUGAAACGUACUUUUCUCUCCCAGGUUAAAAGAACUUUU